AGUGAACGCCGGCGGUAGGCCUAACACAUGCAAGUCGAACGGCAGCACAGGAGAGCUUGCUCUCUGGGUGGCGAGUGGCGGACGGGUGAGGAAUACAUCGGAAUCUACUUUUUCGUGGGGGAGAACGUAGGGAAACUUACGCUAAUACCGCAUACGACCUACGGGUGAAAGCAGGGGACCUUCGGGCCUUGCGCGAUUGAAUGAGCCGAUGUCGGAUUAGCUAGUUGGCGGGGUAAAGGCCCACCAAGGCGACGAUCCGUAGCUGGUCUGAGAGGAUGAUCAGCCACACUGGAACUGAGACACGGUCCAGACUCCUACGGGAGGCAGCAGUGGGGAAUAUUGGACAAUGGGCGCAAGCCUGAUCCAGCCAUACCGCGUGGGUGAAGAAGGCCUUCGGGUUGUAAAGCCCUUUUGUUGGGAAAGAAAUCCAGCUGGCUAAUACCCGGUUGGGAUGACGGUACCCAAAGAAUAAGCACCGGCUAACUUCGUGCCAGCCGCCGCAGUAA
RNAcentral lists this ribosomal RNA (506 nucleotides) under uncultured bacterium. RNAcentral describes it as "partial 16S ribosomal RNA". It matches the Rfam family "Bacterial small subunit ribosomal RNA", at positions 29 to 523 of the family's 1533-position model. The record is from RNAcentral.